GCGAUAGGUAGAGGCCGAGAAGCCCGCCCCACGAUUUUGGGCGCCGAAGGGGGCCGGCGGAGCCAGUGGCGCAACCUUCUACCCGAAAA
Molecule: non-coding RNA, 89 nt
Filed under: unclassified sequences
Description: c-di-GMP sequence
Rfam family: c-di-GMP-II-GAG riboswitch aptamer
Source: RNAcentral